This 269-nucleotide long non-coding RNA is filed under the name Theobroma cacao (cacao). RNAcentral describes it as "long non-coding RNA (TCAC_LNC005343)". Lineage: Eukaryota; Viridiplantae; Streptophyta; Magnoliopsida; Malvales; Malvaceae. The record is from RNAcentral.
CUAGAUUGAGUAUCCAUGUAUGCUCAUCCUCUUGGUAGGUACUAUGGCAUCUUAAUAACUGUACCUUCACCCACGAUCACUCCGCUGACUGUUAAGAGUUUGUUACCUGUGAACGCGUAUAUGUAAUGUAAUCCGCUAGGAUCCAUGUUAUAAGUUAAAUAUGUAUAUUUGAUUACUUAUGCCAACAUGAGUUGGCAAACGGGUGACAUUAUUUUGACAUAAUAAAAUGGUGAGUAUUGGGUCACUAUAAAAUGUUACUGAAAUAUUUU